CAGAGCUCUGUCUCCUGUGGGCACCAUCCCAUCAUGACCGGUUUCUCCUAAACCUGGUGAAUGACCAAAGACAUCUCAAAGGUUACUCUACACCCAGGAUAGAAAAUGAGUGCUGUGACAGAUGACCUGGCCCCUACAAUCCCCCCUCUAAAACCCUGUGGAGCUGGUUUGGGAAGAGCUGGAUCGAAGAGGCCUGACCUGGUUGUGGUUCCUGAAAGCCAAGUACCCGACGGACACAUCUUGACAUCUGUGCCUUGAGACAGUGUCAUCAUGGCUUUGAGGAUGUGCCGACAGAGCGGACUCUCUUGAAGGGAGGUGGGGGGACACCGGGUCGUCUAGUCGCUGGAGAUUCGGUGGGACACAUUUCGUGCAUCUCGGAGGGAAAGGGCAGCAGAGACUGAGAAGGAGAGGGAGGAGCAGUGAGACUAAAGCUGGAAUUAACAGCCGGAGCCAGGAAAAGACAACCUGCCUCUGACCUCUGGGCUUUUAUAUAAUCUGCGUCAUGUGUGUUAUAAAAGACCUGCAUCUUGUAUUCAUUUUUUUCAGUGAAAACAGUGCUAAUCCUUAACUGAGGGUAUUGAGCCUUGUUUGUAUUCCUGCCUAUGUACUGAACCAUAUGGCUGGACCCCAUGUACCGCUGACCAGGAGGUGUCUCUGUUUACCUACCAGUU
Long non-coding RNA from Brienomyrus brachyistius, 671 nucleotides. RefSeq lists it as uncharacterized. The transcript is spliced from 3 exons. NCBI's taxonomy places the organism in Eukaryota, Metazoa, Chordata, Actinopteri, Osteoglossiformes, Mormyridae. The record is from RefSeq and is a predicted model, not a curated record.